UACGAAGGGGGCUAGCGUUGCUCGGAAUUACUGGGCGUAAAGCGUGCGCAGACGGUUGCGUAAGUCAGAUGUGAAAGCCCCGGGCUCAACCUGGGAAUUGCAUUUGAGACUGCGUAGCUAGGGUGCGGAAGAGGGAAGCGGAAUUUCCGGUGUAGCGGUGAAAUGCGUAGAUAUCGGAAGGAACACCAGUGGCGAAAGCGGCUUCCUGGUCCAGCACCGACGUUCAGGCACGAAAGCGUGGGGAGCAAACAGG
This 253-nucleotide ribosomal RNA is filed under the name uncultured bacterium. RNAcentral describes it as "partial 16S ribosomal RNA". It matches the Rfam family "Bacterial small subunit ribosomal RNA", at positions 524 to 776 of the family's 1533-position model. The record is from RNAcentral.